CUUGGAAAACCUGCUCUUUAGUGCUGAAUUGGAGCAAACAUCCAUCUGUGAAAAACCCAGUUGAUGUCUGCUCCAAUUCAGCACUAAAGAGCAGGUUUUCCUGG
Podarcis lilfordi (Lilford's wall lizard) is the source of this 104-nucleotide non-coding RNA. NCBI's taxonomy places the organism in Eukaryota, Metazoa, Chordata, Lepidosauria, Squamata, Lacertidae. The record is from the annotation of a GenBank genome assembly.